RNAcentral lists this long non-coding RNA (1164 nucleotides) under Homo sapiens (human). RNAcentral's name for it is "HSALNT0125896". The record is from RNAcentral. Lineage: Eukaryota; Metazoa; Chordata; Mammalia; Primates; Hominidae.
AGGUGGUUAAAAUCCAGAAUGUGAUAACAGACUUUCGGAAAUGAAGAACAUGUCAUCAGUAAAGAAACAGAAAAAUCACCUUCCAUGACGACAAGCCGUGUAGACUGUACCUUCCUCACUGCCAACCACGAAGUUAUUGACGUCUCCCGUUGGGAAAGCCAUUCCGGUAACAGCGACAGGCUUGGACUUAUUGUACACCAGCUCCAUGCUCUCCUACCAAAACACGCGUUACAAAAGACCCCGGCUGUGCCAGAAACCAUGCUUUACUGCCCCUGACAUUCAUGCUUCUGUGGAUCUCUGGUUUCAAGCCGGCUGGAUUUCAUCAGCAUGUGCUGCUGCUUCUUAAGUCAGGCAAAGAUGACAGAGCAAGCAUGUAAAAAAAGAGCCAGCUUCUUAAUCUGUGUUCCCUUCCUGGGCCAUAUAAAAGAAGCAAUAACGUUCAUCAGCUACAGAAUCCAAGAGAAGAAUUCAGUUAUCAGGAGUUGAAAAAAAGGAAGGUGUUCAAUGAUCCUGUGGAGCCAGGAAUAAUAUGAAACCAGAUAAUGAAGAGUUAAGGAAAGCUUCUAAGACUGCUAAUGAACUCCAUCCUGCCCUGCUUAUUGUCACUUUGAUCUCAGCUUUCAAGACACACAACUUCUUCUCUAACAGAAACAUAAAUGGCUGAUCAAAGUGUGCUUGCAGAGGCCAAGUUCAGAUGAGAAGACAGAAUAAUUUCCCCCGAAGGAACUGCAACCACAUCCCGCUUCAAGUUCUGUCUGGCUCUGCCUGUUUUGGGGUCUGUGAUCUUUAACCACUAUGCAAACUGCCUCCUGAACCACAGCAUGAUGUGAAAUAGAAAUGCCAUGGAGAAAGGACUGAAAUACAAGCAGCUGCAAUGUUCUAUUGCAAGGUAAGGAGGCUUUGCAGGGACUUUUUGAGGUGGACUUGCAUGGCCUCAACAUGGAUUGUUCUUCCACACUCAGGAGGUGAACAAAUACAAGUUGUAGCUGAGAAGGUAUGCUUCUCACCCUUGAGAGCUGUACAUAAUGGAUUAUUUUAUUUAUCAGGUAUUCUACAACCACAUUCUGUUCUAAUUUUCAUUCUGGAAUCCACUGCUUUGAGACCUGGCCGGCAAUGCUUAAUAUGAAGUGUUAAUUCCCCCAGCCAGAAAGAUUCACAGCUUAG